RNAcentral lists this ribosomal RNA (253 nucleotides) under uncultured bacterium. RNAcentral's name for it is "partial 16S ribosomal RNA". It matches the Rfam family "Bacterial small subunit ribosomal RNA", at positions 524 to 776 of the family's 1533-position model. The record is from RNAcentral.
UACGGAGGGUGCAAGCGUUGUCCGGAUUUAUUGGGUUUAAAGGGUGCGUAGGUGGUCUAUUAAGUCAGUGGUGAAAUGCUUCAGCUUAACUGGAGAAGUGCCAUUGAUACUGAUAGGCUAGAGUGUAGUCGAGGCAGGCGGAAUUUAUGGUGUAGCGGUGAAAUGCGUAGAUAUUGGAAAGAACACCGAUGGCGAAAGCACUUUACUGGGCUAUUACUAACACUCAGAGACGAAAGCUAGGGUAGCAAAUGGG